This 1351-nucleotide long non-coding RNA is filed under the name Chrysemys picta bellii (western painted turtle). Its description in RNAcentral is "lncRNA (ENSCPBG00000016813.1)". Lineage: Eukaryota; Metazoa; Chordata; Testudines; Emydidae. The record is from RNAcentral.
AGUGGCGAAUUAACAUUUCUUUCAACAGCACUUGACCAAAGGCCAAUGAGCUCUUACAUUGUGUCUGGGGCUGUGGCUGGGACACUUCUCUUCUUGCUGGUGCUUGGUAUCCUUUUGUGGAGAUGGAGACAGAGCUCCAAAGAACCACUUCAAAGCAGGUCAGAGGCAGAGAUGAAUCAGAUGGAGACGUCUUCUCCUCCACCAGCUGAUCUGGUGACUUACGUUGACUUGAACUCCCACAAAAGGGACAAAAAAGCAGAGGAAGAGGUUGUUUACACGGAAGUGAAGAUACGGCCAAAACAGAGAGAUGACAAUGACAUCUACGCAAAAGUCAACCCUCGUCAUCGCUAGGGGAAGAGCCAGUGGGAAUUAACAGAGGAGUGACCAGCAUUUCACAUGUCCAUGAAAUGCAAAUCUCCAUGAAAAAAUGAAUUAGCUCUUAGUAAAAGAUGUCCUUGAAGAUCAAAGUCCUCUAGUUAUGAACAGAGCAGGUAGCAGUGCAAGAUUCCCUCAUUUCCUGCUCCACCAACAUGCCUCAACUGUGAUCUGGAGAGACCAAUUCUGUGGGUAAACGGAGAGUUCUGCUAACCCAUAUACUCUUGGCCUAUGUGCUGUGAUUGCAGCCAGGAAACGGGUUGUGCAGUGGACAGUGUUUCAAUAGGAACUGAGUCGAGACCAGAAAUUCAUUUAACAAACUCACCAGUCAUCAGAGGGUCCUGUGGCACCUUUAAGACUAACAGAAGUAUUGGGAACAUAAGCUUUCGUGGGUAAGAACCUCACUUCUUCAGAUGCAAGUAAUGGAAAUUUCCAGAGGCAGGUAUAAAUCAGUAUGGAGAUAAUGAGCCUGGCUGAAGUCAUUAAGGUUUUCAACCAUUUACACCAAGACUGUACAUGUGCCUUACAAUAUCGAUAAGAAUGGCCAGGCUGGGUCAGAUCAAUGGUUCAUCUCGCCCAGUAUCCUGUCUUUGACCAGUGCCAGAUACUUCAGAGGGAAUGAACAGUACAGGGCAAUUUCAAGUGAUCUAUCCCCUGUUGUCUAGUCCCCCCUUAUGACAGUUGGGGGUUGAGAGACACCACACUGAAUGACUAAGCUGUGUACAAAAUACACAGCGGUUGCCCUAAACACUACAUCUUACAGCAGAAUUACUGCUAGUGGUUUAGGACAUUACUAUACAGUACUGCAUCUACUUCUUACCACACCAAAUACUUCCAUUCAUCCAGCCCAUACUUCUUUAACUUGCUGGCAAGAAUACUGUGGGAGACCGUAUCAAGAGCUUUGCUAAAGUCAAGAAAUAACACAUCCACUGCUUUCCCCUCAUCCACAGAGCCAGUUAUCUCAUCAUAGAAGGCA